AUACGGAGGAUCCGAGCGUUAUCCGGAUUUAUUGGGUUUAAAGGGUGCGCAGGCGGCCAUUUAAGUCAGCGGUUAAAUCGUGGGGCUCAACCCCAUUCUGCCGUUGAUACUGGGUGGCUUGAUUGCGGACGAGGUUGGCGGAAUUCGUUGUGUAGCGGUGAAAUGCAUAGAUAUGACGAAGAACACCGAUUGCGUAGGCAGCUGACCAGACCGCAAAUGACGCUCAUGCACGAAAGUGCGGGGAGCGAACAGGAUUAGAUACCCUGGUAGUCCGCACAGUAAACGAUGAAUACUUGUUUUCGGCGAUAUAAUGUCGGAGGUAAAGCGAAAGCGAUAAGUAUUCCACCUGGGGAGUACGCCGGCAACGGUGAAACUGAAAGGAAUUGACGGGG
This 392-nucleotide ribosomal RNA is filed under the name uncultured bacterium. Its description in RNAcentral is "partial 16S ribosomal RNA". It matches the Rfam family "Bacterial small subunit ribosomal RNA", at positions 523 to 918 of the family's 1533-position model. The record is from RNAcentral.